AGCGGAGGAAAAGAAACUAACAAGGAUUCCCUUAGUAACGGCGAGUGAACCGGGAAAAGCUCAAAUUUGUAAUCUGGCUGUCUUCGAUAGUCCGAGUUGUAAUCUAUAGACGUGUUUUCCGUGCUGGACCGUAUCUAAGUCCCUUGGAACAGGGUAUCAAAGAGGGUGACAAUCCCGUGCUUGAUACGACCACCAGUGCUCUGUGAUACACGCUCUACGAGUCGAGUUGUUUGGGAAUGCAGCUCAAAAUGGGUGGUAAAUUCCAUCUAAAGCUAAAUAUUGGCGAGAGACCGAUAGCGAACAAGUACCGUGAGGGAAAGAUGAAAAGCACUUUGGAAAGAGAGUUAAACAGUACGUGAAAUUGUUGAAAGGGAAACGAUUGAAGUCAGUCGUGUUCUUUGGAUUCAGCUAGUUCUUCUAGUCUACUUCCUUUGAACGGGUCAACAUCAGUUUUGUCCGGUGGAUAAAGAUAGUAGGAAUGUAGCUCCCUCGGGAGUGUUAUAGACUAUUAUUGCAUGCACUGGGUGAGACUGAGGACUGCAGCUCGCCUUUUGGCCGACCUUCGGGUACGUUCGAGCUUAGGAUGUUGACAUAAUGGCUUUAAACGACCCGUCUUGAAACACGGACCA
RNAcentral lists this ribosomal RNA (629 nucleotides) under Cutaneotrichosporon moniliiforme. RNAcentral's name for it is "partial large subunit ribosomal RNA". It matches the Rfam family "Eukaryotic large subunit ribosomal RNA", at positions 49 to 668 of the family's 3401-position model. The record is from RNAcentral. Lineage: Eukaryota; Fungi; Basidiomycota; Tremellomycetes; Trichosporonales; Trichosporonaceae.